GACGGGGCCCGCACAAGCGGUGGAGCAUGUGGUUUAAUUCGAUGAUACGCGAGGAACCUUACCUGGGCUCGAACGCAAGAUGACUGUAGGUGAAAGCUUACAUCUCUUCGGAGCAUUUUACGAGGUGCUGCAUGGUUGUCGUCAGCUCGUGCCGUGAGGUGUCGGGUUAAGUCCCAUAACGAGCGCAACCCUACCUUUAGUUGCCAUCAGGUUAAGCUGGGGACUCUAAAGGAACUGCCUACGCAAGUAGUGAGGAAGGCGGGGAUGACGUCAAAUCAGCACGGCCCUUACGUCCAGGGCUACACACGUGCUACAAUGGCCGAUACAGAGGGCAGCUACCUGGUGACAGGAUGCAAAUCUCCAAAGUCGGUCUCAGUUCGGAUCGGAGUCUGCAACCCGACUCCGUGAAGAUGGAUUCGCUAGUAAUCGCGCAUCAGCCAUGGCGCGGUGAAUACGUUCCCGGGCCUU
This 468-nucleotide ribosomal RNA is filed under the name uncultured Sphingobacteriales bacterium. Its description in RNAcentral is "bacterial SSU rRNA". It matches the Rfam family "Bacterial small subunit ribosomal RNA", at positions 916 to 1381 of the family's 1533-position model. Lineage: Bacteria; Pseudomonadati; Bacteroidota; Sphingobacteriia; Sphingobacteriales. The record is from RNAcentral.